This 494-nucleotide ribosomal RNA is filed under the name uncultured bacterium. Its description in RNAcentral is "partial 16S ribosomal RNA". It matches the Rfam family "Bacterial small subunit ribosomal RNA", at positions 28 to 507 of the family's 1533-position model. The record is from RNAcentral.
GACGAACGCUGGCGGCGUGCUUAACACAUGCAAGUCGAACGGUGAAGCGCCUUCCUUUUUGGUGGGUGUGGAUCAGCGGCGAACGGGUGAGUAACACGUGAGUCACCUGCUCCCUUCUUCUGGACAACCGCAUGAAAGUGUGACUAAUACGGGAUAUAUUGAGUCUGUUGCUUGAUGGGUCUGGGACGGAUUUUGUUUCGCUGGGGGAUGGGCUCGCGGCCUAUCAGCUUGUUGGUGUGGUGAUGGCCUACCAAGGCGGUGACGGGUAGCCGGCCUGAGAGGAUCGACCGUCACAGAGGGACUAAGACGCGGCGCAGACUACUAGGGGCGGCAGCAGUGAAGAAUAUGGCACAAGCGGCAGAAUGCUGAAGCAGCGACGCGGCGGGGGUGAAGGUGGCCGGCGCGUUAAAAACCUCUAUCGCCAAUGAAGCAGGGCGGACGCAACUGUGGAUGGGUUGACGGUAGCUGGACAAAAAGCGACGGCUAACUACGUG